AAAUUGAAGAGUUUGAUCAUGGCUCAGAUUGAACGCUGGCGGCAGGCCUAACACAUGCAAGUCGAACGGUAACAGGAAGCAGCUUGCUGCUUCGCUGACGAGUGGCGGACGGGUGAGUAAUGUCUGGGAAACUGCCUGAUGGAGGGGGAUAACUACUGGAAACGGUGGCUAAUACCGCAUAACGUCGCAAGACCAAAGAGGGGGACCUUCGGGCCUCUUGCCAUCAGAUGUGCCCAGAUGGGAUUAGCUUGUUGGUGAGGUAACGGCUCACCAAGGCGACGAUCCCUAGCUGGUCUGAGAGGAUGACCAGCCACACUGGAACUGAGACACGGUCCAGACUCCUACGGGAGGCAGCAGUGGGGAAUAUUGCACAAUGGGCGCAAGCCUGAUGCAGCCAUGCCGCGUGUAUGAAGAAGGCCUUCGGGUUGUAAAAGUACUUUCAGCGGGGAGGAAGGUGUUGUGGUUAAUAACCGCAGCAAUUGACGUUACCCGCAGAAGAAGCACCGGCUAACUCCGUGCCAGCAGCCGCGGUAAUACGGAGGGUGCAAGCGUUAAUCGGAAUUACUGGGCGUAAAGCGCACGCAGGCGGUCUGUCAAGUCGGAUGUGAAAUCCCCGGGCUCAACCUGGGAACUGCAUUCGAAACUGGCAGGCUUGAGUCUUGUAGAGGGGGGUAGAAUUCCAGGUGUAGCGGUGAAAUGCGUAGAGAUCUGGAGGAAUACCGGUGGCGAAGGCGGCCCCCUGGACAAAGACUGACGCUCAGGUGCGAAAGCGUGGGGAGCAAACAGGAUUAGAUACCCUGGUAGUCCACGCCGUAAACGAUGUCUACUUGGAGGUUGUGCCCUUGAGGCGUGGCUUCCGGAGCUAACGCGUUAAGUAGACCGCCUGGGGAGUACGGCCGCAAGGUUAAAACUCAAAUGAAUUGACGGGGGCCCGCACAAGCGGUGGAGCAUGUGGUUUAAUUCGAUGCAACGCGAAGAACCUUACCUGGUCUUGACAUCCACGGAAGUUUUCAGAGAUGAGAAUGUGCCUUCGGGAACCGUGAGACAGGUGCUGCAUGGCUGUCGUCAGCUCGUGUUGUGAAAUGUUGGGUUAAGUCCCGCAACGAGCGCAACCCUUAUCCUUUGUUGCCAGCGGUUAGGCCGGGAACUCAAAGGAGACUGCCAGUGAUAAACUGGAGGAAGGUGGGGAUGACGUCAAGUCAUCAUGGCCCUUACGACCAGGGCUACACACGUGCUACAAUGGCGCAUACAAAGAGAAGCGACCUCGCGAGAGCAAGCGGACCUCAUAAAGUGCGUCGUAGUCCGGAUUGGAGUCUGCAACUCGACUCCAUGAAGUCGGAAUCGCUAGUAAUCGUGGAUCAGAAUGCCACGGUGAAUACGUUCCCGGGCCUUGUACACACCGCCCGUCACACCAUGGGAGUGGGUUGCAAAAGAAGUAGGUAGCUUAACCUUCGGGAGGGCGCUUACCACUUUGUGAUUCAUGACUGGGGUGAAGUCGUAACAAGGUAACCGUAGGGGAACCUGCGGUUGGAUCACCUCCUUACCUGAAAGAA
RNAcentral lists this ribosomal RNA (1553 nucleotides) under Salmonella enterica subsp. enterica serovar Bareilly str. CFSAN000189. Its description in RNAcentral is "16S ribosomal RNA". It matches the Rfam family "Bacterial small subunit ribosomal RNA". Lineage: Bacteria; Pseudomonadati; Pseudomonadota; Gammaproteobacteria; Enterobacterales; Enterobacteriaceae. The record is from RNAcentral.